RNAcentral lists this ribosomal RNA (403 nucleotides) under uncultured bacterium. Its description in RNAcentral is "bacterial SSU rRNA". It matches the Rfam family "Bacterial small subunit ribosomal RNA", at positions 355 to 774 of the family's 1533-position model. The record is from RNAcentral.
UCGGGAAUAUUGCGCAAUGGAGGAAACUCUGACGCAGUGACGCCGCGUGCAGGAAGAAGGUUUUCGGAUUGUAAACUGCUUUAGACAGGGAAGAAACAAGACAGUACCUGUAGAAUAAGCUCCGGCUAACUACGUGCCAGCAGCCGCGGUAAUACGUAGGGAGCAAGCGUUAUCCGGAUUUAUUGGGUGUAAAGGGUGCGUAGACGGGAAUGCAAGUUGGUUGUGAAAUCCCUCGGCUCAACCGAGGAAUUGCAACCAAAACUAUAUUUCUUGAGUGCUGGAGAGGAAAGUGGAAUUCCUAGUGUAGCGGUGAAAUGCGUAGAUAUUAGGAGGAACACCAGUGGCGAAGGCGACUUUCUGGACAGUAACUGACGUUGAGGCACGAAAGUGUGGGGAGCAAACA